Molecule: long non-coding RNA, 3482 nt
Organism: Symphalangus syndactylus (siamang)
Lineage: Eukaryota; Metazoa; Chordata; Mammalia; Primates; Hylobatidae
Source: RefSeq, a predicted model, not a curated record
UAGCAGUCGGGGCUGAGAUGCGGGGGCGGGGCCGGAGCGAGGCUGGGUAUCACCGGGAGUGGAGGAAGUGCGCCGGGUUCGGGGCGCGGGGACGGUGAUCCUGGGAGGACCUGCGCGGCGUGUGGGGCGGGGCACAGAUGCUCCCCGGCCUGGCUCCGAGGAGCUGAGAGCUGGAGGCGCGGCUGCUCUCUCGGGAGGACUUCAGCUCUGCGAACCCUGCGGCUGCCGGAGCACUGAGCGCCCUGCCCGGAGUCCUGCGGAGCCUGGCGAGGAGGGGUCGCUGCAUCCCGAGGGCCAGCCGUGAGCCGGGAGGUCGAACAGUGUUAACUUUGCUGGAAGGAACCUUACUCAGAGAGCCAAUCACCUGCUUCUCUAGAGUUCUCAAGCUCUCCUGUGAGCACCAGGUUGAGCCGCAGAAAGCCAGGACCAGCUCACUGAACUGAGAAAUGGACAUGAAGAUGCCCAGGUCUGCAGAUGGUUUCCAUCCUGAAAAGUGAUGGGCCAGAGGGGGACUGGCACGCGGUCAUUCAUUCAACGAUUAUGCUCCUACUCUAUGAAGUGUUGGGGAUACAGUGCUGAGCACAGACAGACCUAGUCUCGGUCCCUUGCAGCUUUCAGUGAAGGAGAGGAGGUAGACACUGAUGCGACAAGCACCCGAGUAAGUGUAAGACCAUGCAGUGAUAAAGGCCAUGGAGGAAGGGCCCAUGCAGGGGCGGAAAACAGAGGAAGGGGCUGGUGGAGCAGCUCCUCUAGCUCAAGGCUGAGUGGUAUAAACUGUAGCUACUGCAUGAUCUGAACGUGUCUUAAGGAGGGUAUCCCCAAAGCGGGCUCACUGGGAGGUACUGUGGAACGCUGGUUUAUUGUAAUUGCCAUGUGUUUAUAAGUAAUGGAAUCCUAGAGUUAGAAGGAACUUUGGUCACCUUCUAAUUCAAUAUUCAUCUUUCUCAAUCCAGGAAACAUCGCUACAGUAUCCCUAACUGGGGAUUGAUCCAUUCAUUUCCAGACACAGAGAACAGAGUCACAUUCUGCUGUUUCCAUAUGCAUUAUUUUAGUAAGACUUCUUGGGGCACAAGGCAGGAAGUGGGGGACAAUAUAUUUGUCUGCACCAAGGCAGCCUGAGAAGAGAGAAGUGAAUACUCCUGGGGGUAUUCUAUAUUAUUCACUUAAUAUUCUAAGUGAAUACUCUAGGGGCGCCUGAGACAUGGAGCUAUGAAAGUACACAUUCACAAAAGUACCAACUUUAAAACUAGAUUAUCUCACUAUUCAGGACCACCAAGGAAAGGCCACACAAUAGGGACAUAGUUCAUCUGAGAUCUAGCAAAUUUCCCUGUUGGCCACAUACUGAUAAUGAUGUAUUAAAAUCAAUUCUAUACCGUGGGGUACUUAUUUGACAUUAAUAGAUACUAUGGUGGUUUGACAUAGUUGCUGCCCAGAGAAAAAGCCGCACACUCACCUACACCAAAAUGAAGUCUGAGUCAGCUGCCUCCCCUCCCCCAUCCCUUCCAAAGUCAAUGGUUGAAAGUCACAGAAGUCCCUCUGCUGCUACCUAGUGACGACAAUGUGAAUACAACUACACAGCCUCCUGGGAAAGAAGUUUUGAACCACGUUUACUUCUUCUAAAGGAUGCCUGUAAUUACCUCCGAGUGCUCUAUUUUGACUACAAUUUAAAAACGUAUAUAUUUUAAAACUCUAUAAACUCUUAUGCAUAUCCCUUUUUAAGAAUCUGACUUGUAAUGGAUGUAGCCUCACUUUCAAGAACCUAAAAGCUAUGCCCCCAAUUCAGGGAGUAGAACAGACAGGCUUAACAGCAGUGCCUAAAAAUGCUGCUAAAUUUAUCUUUAAAAUGCCUGUGGUUCCUUAGCACUUGAAUUCCGUUAUGCCCCUGGGUAUAGUCACCUGGAUGUUAGGGGCUGUCAAAAUUCAGUCCUCAGGUGGUGAUCAGUAGGUUUUCCCUUUAAGUGGUUUCUGAAAGGAUUAAAAAAAAAAAUCUUGAAAUUCUGAUGUCUGGAUGAUGUUUCCAGUUUUGUGGAAGAAUAAAAGAAAAGGGACAUGAAAUUCUGGCUCCCUGGGGGCAGUGGCUGUGUCUUAUUAAUCUCUGUGCCCAUUGUACCAACACCGGUCAGUCACAGCAUGUACUCAACCAAUGCUGAUGAAUGCAGAGAGGCGAGGGGCUGGCACGCUCUUGACCCCUUAUAGGGGCUGCGUCGAUGGCCAGGGUUCAGUGGGAACUUUCUGGUACAGUCUCGCUCUGCCACUCUUUCAAAUUAAAUGCAGCACAAUUGGAAGCCUCACAUUCUCAUCCAUGGGUUGAGGAGGGCAUCAGGGGCAGAAAGGCUCACAUGAGCCCUGAGCAUGAGGUUUCCUGCCCAACACUGUUGUGCCAUUGCAGCCCACCUUCUUCUCACCUUUCCUUCCACACCACGCAUGGCAGGUGCAGAAACCAUGCUGGGAUUGAGGCCCUAGAGGCUGACUACAGGUCUUGGGGGCAAAACAUCUGGACACACAGCUGAAGAUGAGCCAAGUAUAUUAGUCAGAGUUCUCUAGAGGAACAGAACCAACAAGAUAGAGAGAUGCAGAGAGAGAGAGAGACAGACAGACAGACAGACAGAUUUAAGUAACUGACCCAUAAAAUCUUGGGGGCUUGGCAAGUCCAAAAUCUGCAAGAUGGAAGUGGGCUGGCACAUUGGAGACUCAAGGAAGAGUUGCAGGUUGAGUUCAAAGGCCAGCUGCUGGCAGAAUUCCUUUCUGCUCAGGUGAAGUCGGUCUCUAUUCUAUUAAGACCUUCAACUGAUUGGAUGAGGCCCACCCAUACUAUGACGCGUCAUUUGCUUUACUCAACAUCUACUCAUGUAAAUAUUAAUCUCAUUGAAAAAAACCCCAGAAACAUCCAGAAUACCAUUUGACCAAAUGUUGGGACAAUGCAGCCUAGCCACAUUAACACAGAAAAUUAACUGUCACAGCAAGACACCAGGGAAGCAUUGGAAGAUGUUAGCGGCUGUCAUUGAAAUGAGUGCCCUCAGGUGGACGGCAGCCAUCCAUCGGGCAAGAGCGGGGCAACUGGAAGGGCCCUCCCCUCCCGUUUGCUUUCUGCUCUUCACAGCUCAUGGAUAGAGGAAUUUUCUCAGCACUUUUCCCAGGAGGAUUUUGGCACCACCAUUUCUUGAAAACAGAUGUCUGCAGGGAUGUGUGUGUGUGCCUGUGAAUAUGAAGUCCAGAUCCUGGGACUGAGAACAGCAAGGGGAACAGGUGGCCACGGGGGAGUUUGCAGAUUGCCAACUUAGGAUGUGCUCCCAGGGCUGCGCUGGUGUUGGUCGUGAGAGCGAUCAUGGUUUGUGCAACGUCUGAACUUUCUGUCACCUUAUGGUUUAAUCAAUUUGCUGUUUACUUCAGCUAUUUGUAACCUCUCCUCAGUUACUUGGCGUUCAGCAGUGUAAUAUAUCUUCAUGUGUGAAUAUAAAUAUACUAUUUAGUGGAAACUAAAA